Molecule: unclassified non-coding RNA, 2136 nt
Filed under: Leishmania donovani
Lineage: Eukaryota; Euglenozoa; Kinetoplastea; Trypanosomatida; Trypanosomatidae
Description: gene:LdHU3.32.1190(CDS-product:hypothetical_prote in_conserved)
Source: RNAcentral
CGAAGACGCUGACAACACGCGCCCCGACUCCCCCUCCCCAAUCCACGUAGUCACUGAGGAUGAAAGGGGCUGGAUCGUUGGAGCAGGCGUGGGAUCCGUCCGCGCCUGGCGCCGGCGCGCUCCGCGCCACGGCUAUCGCCCAGCUCUAUUUCCGGAUGACCAGUCAUCACCCACUGACAAUCUUGGUUGUGGACGCGAUGUGCCUCGUCUUCGGGGCGGACGGCGUAACAGUGCAGGAGCUGGUCAACUACUUGGGGAUCACCGAGGACCGGGUGCGGUUUGGCCUUGAGGGCAUUCCGGCGGAAAUGCGGUGCACCGCGCGACAGCUGGAGUCGGAAGGGUCGCUUGUCGGCGCUGCGCCGGACGCAGUGGGGGAUUCGGAUGCGGCGCAACGUGGCCGACGCCUCGGCACCGGAGAAACAGGCUCGAAGGAGGUUCGAUAUUACCUGAACUACAAGCGGAUGUUGCCGCUUGUGUACGCCCACGGGACGCGUCUGCUGCUGUCUGCGUGCGUGACUGACGUUCCACCAUGCAGGUACGUGGAGUCGGUGCAGCAGGCGCAGUUAGCGGCGUACCAGAAAGCUGACGCGAGCAUCGCUCACGCCUUCUUUGCCUCUGGCCACCCACCCCACGCAGAGGAGGCGCUGCACACCAGCGGCGGCGUCGGACCGUCCGACAAGGGCGUCGGUGAUCACAUCGACGUCUCCGAGGCGAUGCGGCGCAGAAACGCGAUUCGCGGUGUCCUCUGCCUCGGCUGCACUUGCUACUUCCUUGUCGAGGAGUUUUGUGAGACCCUUACCCGCUGCCCGCGGUGCGACAAAGACAUCCUGAGCCUCUGCCUGCAAGCCAUCCAGGCGCAGCUACAGGCGCUUGUGAGGGAGAAGCAGACGCUGGUGACACUGCUGCCGCCUGUGAGGCAGGUGUGGAAGCGGCUUUUUGCACGUGAACAAUCACAGGCGCCAAGCGCCGCCGCAAUGGCUUCAUCAUCGACGGCAGAGGCGGACAAGACGGCAGCGCAUAAUACUACAGCAGGCACAGGCACUUCCUUCAGUGCAGCUGCAUUGCCGGUGAGACUCCAGCUAGAUUGCAUGCUGUCCCGCGACCCCUUUUUGUUUCAGCAAGCCGUCGCAUUCUUGUCGCUCUACAGCACGCCCUUUGCCUCCGUGAGCGACGCAGCGAGUGUGGUGGAUGCGCAAGAGAUACUCACCGAGCGCGAGUACCAGAAUCGGCUCUGCGGGCGCGCGUCGGUGGCCGAUCAGUUUCGGUCUCUUCACCGUCACGCCUCAUCGGUGCACGUGCGUCUCAUGUCCCAGCGAGAGAUUGACGCAGCGCGGCAGCAGGAGAGCCACCAGAAGCUGCUGAAGCGGGCGAUGCUGCCGCCUUGGCUGCGAAACACAACCGCUCUUGAUGAGCUUGGUGGCAGUCAUAUUUGCGCCAGCGCCGACAAGGGUGCCGCCGCGACGCAAGAGGUGGAGAUGAACGUGGCGAAGGAGCCAUGGGAGAUGGAGGACUUGCGGUUUAGAGAGACUACAAAAGGACACGUGCCCACUGGCGGAGCGCUCUGGGCGGCAGAAAGUAGCGUCGCCCGCUCCUCGGUGACGGCGACGCCGGUGCAGAAGCGUCGGCGAGCCACAGCCGAUGCUGACGAGAAAGCCGAGCUGACACGCACCGCCUCCUUUAUCGCGACUCACUACUAUGAUGACGAGUUUGAUGCGGUGGCGCUUCCACAGACGCGGCGCUUGCGAGGGAGAAAGAGGGAGGCAUGAGAGAUACAACGAAGAGUUCUAAAUAUGAGCUACCUGCGUUUCUGGUGUUUGGCAGAGUCUGCUCUGCAGGUAAGGAUGCGUGUUGCUUCAACUCGGGGGUUUUCUCUUUUCCAGCCAUGCCUCACGUCUCCGUGACGGAAGGGGGGGGGGCAACCUCUGCCAAAGAUGUCCGUGGCACAAACAGCGUGGCCGGAGCUUUUUUUGCCUGGCAAUUCUGUGGGCAUGAACAAGUGUACCCCCUCCUCCCCCUCUUCUUCCGCCGCGCUGAGCGUCACGUGCGCCGUUCAGGUGGCAGAUGUUGAGGCUAGUCCGCUGAGGCUCGCGCUCACUGAGCGGGAGGUUGUAUCCACAUGUCGUUCUUCACCGAAAC